CUCACGCUGACGUGCAGUCCCUGCCUGAGGGGUUCUUCCUGGCCCUCCACGUUCCUGAUGGUCUGUCUCUUCUUCCAGUGACGUGGAUGUGUGACCUGGUGUGCACGGCUGUGCCAGCGCCUGUGAUGCCUUUAGUGUGGCCAUGUUCAUUCCACUACAAGAGUAAAACUCAUGCACCAGAGAAGCUGCCCUGGGCCCGUUCGCACUCCCCGCUUACCUUCUGACCUUGCCUGAGGCUGCCGGACAGACACCGUGUUCAUGGCUUCUUGGAUUAGUUCUUCAUUUCUUUUUGGUUUCCACUGUGGCUGUGUUCUUCAUUUGAGAUAGGGCAGGAGCCGGGCUGUUCUUACCACCGGAAAGCACAAGCCUCCCUCAGACUAAAGCAGAACUGCAAGAAGAGGAGACUCCAUCCCAAGAACGGGGUUCGGCUCCUGGAUUCCACCACGCCCAGAGCCCGGGAUUAACCUCCAGGCUUUUCCAUCACAUAAGCCAAUAAAGUCACUUUUUUGUUUCAGCCA
Molecule: long non-coding RNA, 518 nt
Filed under: Homo sapiens (human)
Lineage: Eukaryota; Metazoa; Chordata; Mammalia; Primates; Hominidae
Description: HSALNT0068299
Source: RNAcentral